AAUUGAUCUGGAUAGUAAAGAUGAUGAAGAUGGAUUGGACGAAGACUUGGAGAACAUAUUAUGAGUCAAACAACAACUAAGUUAAUUGGUGCAUAUCAAAAGAUGCACAGAUUUAGGAGGAGAUGGAUGUCUUGCUUUAACACGAUUAUAUGGUAAUAAUAUAAAAGAAUAAGAUUUUUAUUAAUAUUUAGUCAUCUUGAAUGUUAGUAGUGGUAGCCAAUUCCAGUGCCAAUAUUUAGGGACUAGUUAGUGUCACCCUGUCGCAGUUAGUUGGGGCAUACUUACUAGUAAUGAAAUGCUUCAUUUAAUUCCAAUAACAAGAUUCAACACAAGAGAAAAGGACUAAUUUAACAUUGAGUGAGUUUGAUGUAAAGGGCUAAUUUGACUCAAUUACAGAGACGUCCAAUCUUAGUCUUGUUACAGUCUCUUAUCGAGUAUGAGACCUGACUUGAUUGGCAAUUCAAUGAGGUCCCAAUAUAGAGACUUUGGCUCCAUUUUAAGCUAUUUCGUUGGUUGGAGAGAGGUGUUUUUGUAUCAUUUGGGAUCAGUAUUAGAUUUUGAAGGAUUUUCAAAGCGAAUGAUGUUCUCUGUGAUUUUAGAUCUUUGAGAAAUAAAUCCGAUUUAUAAAUUUUUGGAUUUUAUGAUUUUUGUAGCAUUUUUACGGAUAAAAAUUUAGAGACUUAUUGGUAUGCUUGUUGUGAAUGUGUACAAGAGGUUUGAGGUCAAUCGAAUGGCUACGUUGAUACAUAUGAAGGUUUUGUGAGCUAAGAUUUCGGAAUUUAGGAUUUUAAAGACCAGUAAGAUUUUGUUAGAU
Molecule: long non-coding RNA, 814 nt
Filed under: Physcomitrium patens
Lineage: Eukaryota; Viridiplantae; Streptophyta; Bryopsida; Funariales; Funariaceae
Description: long non-coding RNA (PPAT_LNC014664)
Source: RNAcentral